GGUGCUGCAGUAAACCAUCGUGUGGCAGUUCUCCCUGGGGACGGGAAAGGUACAGGGAAGGGGCCCUCGCUAAGGGACUAGAGUAGUUCAGCCCGUCCUUUAGGAGCUCUUCGCUGCUGCGGCUGAGUUAGGAGGGCUCGAACACGGAGGCAACCGGUGGGCGCGGAGAUCGGUUCUCGAAGAGGGGGGCGGCUGCUGCAGUGGGCGAGAGAGGACGGUUCUAGGAGACGGGCCACUACCGCUACCGGGUCUCCAGUCAAAGAUGAAGGCCGCUCUAGCUGAUGGGGAGCGCCGAGUAUAGAGGAGUCUGCUUGUCGUUACCCGAUCGCCAGUGGAAGGGGCAGGAGGCUCGGUCGAUUAGUCUGAACCUGGAGAGGGUGGUAACAGUUUAAUUACCACUCGUGUUAGAGAAGGAAAGCGAAGAGGGGGGAUCUAGACGUGUCACAAAACUAACCAGUUAACCGAGAACACUAACUAACACUCCAGACUACGAUAUAAAACCUAUAAAGUUCCUGGUAAAAAGAACAAACCUGAGAACAAUGAUGUCUCGUUUCGUAACGGAUUACACACCGUCAAACAGAUAACUUCAAUCUAAUAACCGACGUAUGUAAUCUUAAAUCCACGUUAAGACUUCUUACACCGUUUACGUCACCUAAAAGACGUAAUUUAAUGACCACUCAGAACACUUGAAACCAAAUCCGUUCAAUUAACGAAAACACAUCUGUCCGUUUAUGACUUGCAAAAAGAAACAAUCUAGGAAUACCGUCAUGUAUGAUGUUAACAAAUAAAAAUACGAAAAAAGCAUCAAUAUUUAAAAGAUAAAAAUCAAAACCAUAGGAGACGUUAAUUUAAGUGGUACCGUAUGAAAAAUCUGUCGUACACGUCAAUGUACGGUAAUGCGUAGUAUGUGAAACGUAUCGAGUUGUGAGAAGAACAUAGAUACCUAUAGGACUAGAUAACUACAGUUCAAACAAAGUGUGUACUGUUUCCUGUGUUGUGGUUUAUUUAGUUCUUUAUAAGUAGUUAUGGUGACUGAGUACAGAAUCUGAAAUAAACAAGUUCCUCCUUUAAAGACGCUACCUCUCUUGUAUUCCACACAUCUGUCAAGCAGAAUAUAAAAGAACAAGACGUGAUGUAGGUAGAAUAGAAAUAAAUAAAACGCGGUAAUAACUGGACUCAAAAUAGACUUGGACUCAAUAUAGGUAGACUGACAAACAUCUAGGUGCUUGGAAACAAAGGUUUGAGACGGAUAAGAAAGUAAACGUUAUUGUACUCAAUAAGACUUAACUAGUAAACUACAAUGGGAUCGUCACGGAGGUAUCUUUUAAUUUAGAUCAACUACAAUAGGAAACUAGUUGAAGACGUUUGUAUUCCUCGAUCAACCAGAGCGAGGUUAUUAUGUACCUAAUGGUAAACCAGAUACACAAAUCUACUCCCAGUGAUAUAUGUAGACGUCUAAUCGUAAAUAGUAAGUCUAAAAGUUAAAUGUAAACGUUCCAUACACUAAACUAAAUAGACCUCCAUUCAACACGAAAGACAGCCAACGUUAAUGAUAUACGAGGUUCGACACCGUUGUUAUGAAGUCUUAAUAAAAAGAUUAGUAAGGCGGUCUCAUCAUAAAAUAAUAAUAUACUAACGUCCUCAACAUAUACCUACAUGACCCCCGUGGUUCUUCUUUCCCAUCAUAUACCUACAUGAUCCCGGGGGGUUUUCUUCUUUUUGACCCCCGUGCUAUUUAAAUAGGAUCUGUGAUACUCCAAAAGACCCUGAGCUGAGCACAUUGACAACUCCCCCCGAUGUGAAGACUCUGCUCCGAUGUUGUGUUAAAAACAACCUCAGCCGAUGUAAGAAUGUGGAGAUCGAGUGCUUCCAGCAUCAGGGUUAAACCUAGCGGUGAGUCGUGCUCACCUCACUGUGAACUAAAGAACAAGACAUAAUCUCAUGGAUUCUUUACAACGGAGAAAUACAAUACACUGUAGAAAUCAAGACUGAUAUAAGAGUACUCACAGGCUUCUACUAUCACAUUUACUUACUAAUAAAUAUGUAAACGUUUAAGGAACUAAAAGACACUAAAGAUCUUAAUAUACAUUACAUAACUUAUAUAAACACAAAAAAACAUUAAUAAGUACCAUAAAAAGACU
Molecule: ribosomal RNA, 2141 nt
Filed under: Triticum aestivum (bread wheat)
Lineage: Eukaryota; Viridiplantae; Streptophyta; Magnoliopsida; Poales; Poaceae
Description: partial small subunit ribosomal RNA
Source: RNAcentral